This 408-nucleotide ribosomal RNA is filed under the name Triticum aestivum (bread wheat). Its description in RNAcentral is "partial small subunit ribosomal RNA". The record is from RNAcentral. Lineage: Eukaryota; Viridiplantae; Streptophyta; Magnoliopsida; Poales; Poaceae.
AUGUUGUUUUCCUCAGCGCGAAGUGCUUACAAUUCUCAAAGGCGUCAACAAGUCCAGGAGGAGAUUGACAAGGUGCAGGCAAGAUCUCAAGUUCAUUGCUGUCUUUUUCUGUUUGAACAUUUUCUUAUUUGGAGUUGCAGCCGAUUUAUGGUGUGUCAACCGACUUGGCUUAGGAUGUAUUGUAGUUGGUUUGGUUGCAUCAACCAACAAGUUUUAUUAUGUAUUGCAGUUGGUUUGGUACCAUCAGCCGAUUGGCCAGUUGGAAAACCAGCGGGGAAAACAUGUACUGUGAGCUCCCCUCGCAUUCAGAGUUUAGAGCUUGAUGAACAAUGUUGUGUGAGCUUGUUGAUGAUCUGCUAUUUUUCACAAAAUUGGGACAUGUCGGAUGGUCGAUGUGAGGUUCUCUAA